AUGUUCCAGUUUGCUCAAUACUUUGGACAAAUGAAACGACUGGAUGUGGUGACUGCGAAGCCUCUUCCUGCCAAGGAAGUCUGUGAGCUAAUGUGCCCAGCCGAGAAUAUUCCCAAGGAGUCUGGUCCCCGCAUGCCUCCUUGUGGGAUACUUUGGACAUCAGCUCUUCUCACUGAUCACGCGGGUCCUUGUGGCAGAGCAUGCUUGAGGCUGAUUGAGGUCCAGUGCCUUGGUGGGCAGUGCCCAGCUUUGGUGAAGGUUCUGUGCUGGAGAGCUUCCUGCCUUACUGGUCUCCUGACAUGUCCGUUGUGAGCAUGUUAAAGUCCCCAGCUGUGCCAUGUCCCGUGCGAGACAUCCUUUGGAGUCUUGGGGACCCAAAGUGAGUUUCAAGAGCUGCCCUUCAAGAGCUGUCCCUGAAUGACAUUCCCGAAUGGAGUAGUCGCCAGAGCAGACUGAGGCACAGGUGCUCCUCGCUGGGUGCUGGCAAGGCUCUGGUUUGGCCGGCUGCUGAGUCUUACUGAACUGGGCAAUUCCAGGUGGUCUCCAAGGACACUGGUUGGGGCAGCAAAGCCUUCUCUCCAGGGUUAGCAGGACCUCGGCCAGAGCCCAGAUUGCAGCUCUUGGAGCUGCCCAGCCAGCAUUAAUAUCAGGCGCAGUUUGGCCUUUGGCAUUUGGGAAGAGAACUCCUUGCCGGAGAUGAAGAAAUGAUUAAUUCUCCUGUGACAGUCAAGCUACAUUUAAUUCUGUUGUAAGGUCAGUGGGAACUUCAGAUGAAUAUUAAAGAGAAGAGCAUUUUAUUAUUAAAAAGUUCACUCCGUGUUUACUUCAAGGGGCUCGAAUGGAACGGAAUCCUUGGGUUUGGGGAGGUAGAAUUGCUGGGACAUUAAGAGGGGCAGAUUUCAGUAGUUCAGAGGUCAGGAUGGAGACAAGAAGCCCCCAGUUUGACAGCCAGAGCAUUCGCUGAACACUUCCUGUGUUCCAGGCACUGUGCUGAGCGCUAGGAUACCAGUUCAAGCCAAGGAGAUAGUCUCUGACCUCAAAGAGUUUACAUUUGGGGGGAUCUGGAGAAGGGGGAAGGGAGGGCGGAGGAACAUCAUGCCCUCCCACCAUCCCCACCUGAUACUCAGCACUUUUUGUUUCAACUCUUAC
RNAcentral lists this long non-coding RNA (1149 nucleotides) under Monodelphis domestica (gray short-tailed opossum). Its description in RNAcentral is "lncRNA (ENSMODG00000051223.1)". Lineage: Eukaryota; Metazoa; Chordata; Mammalia; Didelphimorphia; Didelphidae. The record is from RNAcentral.